GAUGAAGAACGUAGCAAAAUGCGAUACUUGGUGUGAAUUGCAGAAUCCCGUGAACCAUCGAGUUUUUGAACGCAAGUUGCGCCCGAAGCCUUUUGGCCGAGGGCACGUCUGCCUGGGCGUCACGCAUCGCGUCGCCCCCCACAAAUUCUCCGUCAGGGGAGCUUGUGUUUCGGGGGCGGAUACUGGUCUCCCGUGCUCAUGGCGCGGUUGGCCGAAAUAGGAGUCCCUUCGAUGGACGCACGAACUAGUGGUGGUCGUAAAAACCCUCGUCUUUUGUUUCGUGCCGUUAGUCGCGAGGGAAGCUCUUCAAAAACCCCAACGCGUCGUCUCUUGACGGCGCUUCGACCGCGACCCAGGUCAGGCGGGACUACCCGCUGAGUUUAAGCAUAUCAAUAAGCGGAGGA
RNAcentral lists this unclassified non-coding RNA (404 nucleotides) under soil metagenome. RNAcentral's name for it is "partial contains 5.8S ribosomal RNA, internal transcribed spacer 2, and large subunit ribosomal RNA". The stretch from base 1 to 122 matches the Rfam family "5.8S ribosomal RNA", at positions 35 to 154 of the family's 154-position model. The record is from RNAcentral.